ACUCUUUGGCAUGCAGUCUUGCUCUGAUUAAUAGACGUUCUCUUCCCAACCUCGCAUAAGUAUUAACUUCCACAUCUACAUGAACAUGUUGUCCGUGUUGGCGUGUGCAUUCAGAUGGAGAAUAAAGGCCAAAGCUGGCUCAGUUCUUCAUUUCAAGUUAUUUUUUCCUAAUGGAGAGAUGAGAAAAAAAAGAGGGAGGGGGUGUUAACAGGAAUAAUUGAGAGGGAGGGAGCGAGUGGCUUGCAGGCCUCGAGGCCUUGUAUUUAGAGCUGAUUGGAGGAGACGGCUACUGGAACAUGCCUGCAGUGAGUUAUGGGCUAAAACAAUGUCCCCUUCGCCACUUCAUUGAGAGGGAAGAAGGGCUUUCAAGAUGCUGUAGAGCCCUUCUCCAACCUCCAGCCAAACACCACAUGGACUGAAACAGGGAGGCUGCUUUAAAGACAGAGAGAGAAAGCGUUGUUCCUCCACCAUUAGGUGGUUUCACAGUUUCUGUCUCCCAGAUGACCGUAAACAGCUUUUCUUCACCAGAAAGAAUGGGGAUA
Esox lucius (northern pike) is the source of this 542-nucleotide long non-coding RNA. The record is from Ensembl. NCBI's taxonomy places the organism in Eukaryota, Metazoa, Chordata, Actinopteri, Esociformes, Esocidae.